RNAcentral lists this transfer RNA (79 nucleotides) under Cryptomonas paramaecium. RNAcentral's name for it is "Cryptomonas paramecium tRNA". Lineage: Eukaryota; Cryptophyceae; Cryptomonadales; Cryptomonadaceae. The record is from RNAcentral.
UCGAAUAAUAGGAGAAUGAAAAAAAACGUUAUAUUGUUUCGCAUAUUACAGGAUUCGAACCUAUGCUGAAUAAUAUCAA